GACGAACGCUGGCGGCGUGCUUAACACAUGCAAGUCGAACGGAAAGGCCCUGCUUUUGUGGGGUGCUCGAGUGGCGAACGGGUGAGUAACACGUGAGUAACCUGCCCUUGACUUUGGGAUAACUUCAGGAAACUGGGGCUAAUACCGGAUAGGAGCUCCUGCUGCAUGGUGGGGGUUGGAAAGUUUCGGCGGUUGGGGAUGGACUCGCGGCUUAUCAGCUUGUUGGUGGGGUAGUGGCUUACCAAGGCUUUGACGGGUAGCCGGCCUGAGAGGGUGACCGGCCACAUUGGGACUGAGAUACGGCCCAGACUCCUACGGGAGGCAGCAGUGGGGAAUAUGGCACAAUGGGCGGAAGCCUGAUGCAGCAACGCCGCGUGCGGGAUGACGGCCUUCGGGUGGUAAACCGCUUUCGCCUGUGACGAAGCGUGAGUGACGGUAAUGGGGAAAGAAGCACCGGCUACUACGUG
This 467-nucleotide ribosomal RNA is filed under the name uncultured bacterium. RNAcentral describes it as "partial 16S ribosomal RNA". It matches the Rfam family "Bacterial small subunit ribosomal RNA", at positions 28 to 507 of the family's 1533-position model. The record is from RNAcentral.